UACGAAGGGGGCUAGCGUUAAUCGGAAUUACUGGGCGUAAAGCGCGCGUAGGUGGUUUGUUAAGUUGGAUGUGAAAUCCCCGGGCUCAACCCUGGGAACUGCAUUCAAAACUGACAAGCUAGAGUAUGGUAGAGGGUGGUGGAAUUUCCUGUGUAGCGGUGAAAUGCGUAGAUAUAGGAAGGAACACCAGUGGCGAAGGCGACUACCUGGACUGAUACUGACACUGGAGGUGCGAAGGCAGCUGGGGAGUCGAAACAACGAUUGA
RNAcentral lists this ribosomal RNA (265 nucleotides) under uncultured bacterium. RNAcentral's name for it is "partial 16S ribosomal RNA". It matches the Rfam family "Bacterial small subunit ribosomal RNA", at positions 524 to 782 of the family's 1533-position model. The record is from RNAcentral.